This 934-nucleotide ribosomal RNA is filed under the name uncultured Halococcus sp. Its description in RNAcentral is "bacterial SSU rRNA". It matches the Rfam family "Archaeal small subunit ribosomal RNA", at positions 315 to 1245 of the family's 1478-position model. Lineage: Archaea; Methanobacteriati; Methanobacteriota; Halobacteria; Halobacteriales; Halococcaceae. The record is from RNAcentral.
ACCGGGCCCUACGGGGCGCAGCAGGCGCGAAACCUUUACACUGCACGCCAGUGCGAUAAGGGGACCCCGAGUGCGAGGGCAUACAGUCCUCGCUUUUCGUGACCGUAAGAAGGUCUCAGAAUAAGAGCUGGGCAAGACCGGUGCCAGCCGCCGCGGUAAUACCGGCAGCUCGAGUGAUAGCCACUAUUAUUGGGCCUAAAGCGUCCGUAGCCGGCCGAACAGGUCCGUCGGGAAAUCCACCCGCUCAACGGGUGGACGUCCGGCGGAAACCAGUCGGCUUGGGGCCGGGAGACCAGAGAGGUACGUCCGGGGUAGGAGUGAAAUCCUGUAAUCCUGGACGGACCGCCGGUAGCGAAAGCGUCUCUGGAGAACGGACCCGACGGUGAGGGACGAAAGCUUGGGUCUCGAACCGGAUUAGAUACCCGGGUAGUCCAAGCUGUAAACGAUGCUCGCUAGGUGUGGCGUUGGCUACGAGCCAGCGCUGUGCUGUAGGGAAGCCGAGAAGCGAGCCGCCUGGGAAGUACGUCCGCAAGGAUGAAACUUAAAGGAAUUGGCGGGGGAGCACUACAACCGGAGGAGCCUGCGGUUUAAUUGGACUCAACGCCGGACAUCUCACCGGCACCGACAGUGUGCAGUGACAGUCAGUCUGAUGGGCUUACUUGAGCCACUGAGAGGAGGUGCAUGGCCGCCGUCAGCUCGUACCGUGAGGCGUCCUGUUAAGUCAGGCAACGAGCGAGACCCGCGUCCUUAAUUGCCAGCAGCAGCCUUGUGCUGGCUGGGUACAUUAAGGAGACUGCCGUCGCUAAGACGGAGGAAGGAACGGGCAACGGUAGGUCAGUAUGCCCCGAAUGUGCCGGGCGACACGCGGGCUACAAUGGCCGAGACAGUGGGACGCUACCCCGAGAGGGGACGCUAAUCUCCUAACCUCGGUCGU